UGGUUUUCCUUCCUGAUGCCCACUGGGCAAGGCACAGGGCUGGCCCGUCCACCAGCUCCGAGGAUACAAGACCCUUCUGAAAGGAAUUUCUGGGAAAUUCAACAGUGGAGAGCUGGUGGCCAUCAUGGGUCCUUCCGGGGCUGGGAAGUCCACGUUCAUGAACAUCCUGGCCGGUUACAGGGAGACUGGCAUGAAGGGCGAGGUCCUCAUCAACGGCCUCCCGCGGGACCUACGCUGCUUCCGGAAGGUGUCCUGUUACAUCAUGCAGGACGACGUGCUGCUGCCACACCUGACCGUGCACGAGGCCAUGAUGGUGAGUGUCCUGGGGCC
Physeter macrocephalus (sperm whale) is the source of this 330-nucleotide long non-coding RNA. RefSeq lists it as uncharacterized. The record is from RefSeq and is a predicted model, not a curated record. Lineage: Eukaryota; Metazoa; Chordata; Mammalia; Artiodactyla; Physeteridae. The transcript is spliced from 3 exons.